GAUGAACGCUGGCGGUAUGCUUAACACAUGCAAGUCGAACGGGAACUGGUGAUUCCAGUGCCGAACGGGUGAGUAACGGGUGGAAACCUGCCCUGGGGAGGGGAACAACACUUGGAAAGGGUUCCUAAUACGCCGUAGGCUGAGGAGCAAAGGGAGAAAUCCGCCCAAGGAGGGGGUGGCUUCUGAGUAGCUAGGUGGUGAGAUAAUAGCUUACCAAGGCGAUGAUCAGUAGGUGGUACGAGAGGACGACCGGCCACACUGGGACUGGGCCCCGCCCCGGCCUCUAAUGGGAGGAGGCAGUGGGGAAUUUCCCGCAAUGGGGGAAGGCUGAAGGGGGCAUUGCCGGGGGGAGGUGGAAGGUCUACGGGUGGACACCUUCUUUUUUAGGAGAAGAAACAAUGACGGUACCUGAGGAAUAAGCAUCGGCUAACUCCGUG
This 437-nucleotide ribosomal RNA is filed under the name uncultured bacterium. RNAcentral's name for it is "partial 16S ribosomal RNA". It matches the Rfam family "Bacterial small subunit ribosomal RNA", at positions 28 to 507 of the family's 1533-position model. The record is from RNAcentral.